This 243-nucleotide ribosomal RNA is filed under the name uncultured bacterium. RNAcentral describes it as "partial 16S ribosomal RNA". It matches the Rfam family "Bacterial small subunit ribosomal RNA", at positions 111 to 354 of the family's 1533-position model. The record is from RNAcentral.
UAACGCGUGAGGAACCUGCCUUCCAGAGGGGGACAACAGUUGGAAACGACUGCUAAUACCGCAUGAUACAUUUGAAUCGCAUGGUUUGAAUGUCAAAGAUUUAUCGCUGGAAGAUGGCCUCGCGUCUGAUUAGCUAGUUGGUGAGGUAACGGCCCACCAAGGCGACGAUCAGUAGCCGGACUGAGAGGUUGGCCGGCCACAUUGGGACUGAGAUACGGCCCAGACUCCUACGGAAGGCAGCAG